CCUACGGGAGGCAGCAGUGGGGAAUAUUGCACAAUGGGCGAAAGCCUGAUGCAGCAACGCCGCGUGAGCGAUGAAGGCCUUUGGGUCGUAAAGCUCUGUUGUUAGGGAAGAACAAGUGCCAGAGUAACUGCUGGCACCUUGACGGUACCUAACCAGAAAGCCACGGCUAACUACGUGCCAGCAGCCGCGGUAAUACGUAGGUGGCAAGCGUUGUCCGGAAUUAUUGGGCGUAAAGCGCGCGCAGGUGGUUCCUUAAGUCUGAUGUGAAAGCCCACGGCUCAACCGUGGAGGGUCAUUGGAAACUGGGGGACUUGAGUGCAGAAGAGGAAAGUGGAAUUCCAAGUGUAGCGGUGAAAUGCGUAGAGAUUUGGAGGAACACCAGUGGCGAAGGCGACUUUCUGGUCUGUAACUGACACUGAGGCGCGAAAGCGUGGGGAGCGAACAGGAUUAGAUACCCUGGUAGUCCACGCCGUAAACGAUGAGUGCUAAGUGUUAGAGGGUUUCCGCCCUUUAGUGCUGCAGCUAACGCAUUAAGCACUCCGCCUGGGGAGUACGGCCGCAAGGCUGAAACUCAAAGGAAUUGACGG
RNAcentral lists this ribosomal RNA (587 nucleotides) under uncultured bacterium. RNAcentral describes it as "bacterial SSU rRNA". It matches the Rfam family "Bacterial small subunit ribosomal RNA", at positions 338 to 916 of the family's 1533-position model. The record is from RNAcentral.